AUGGAUGAGUAUUUCGCACGGGACAAGGCGUAUUUUCCUAUGCACGUUAACGAGAAUCAUUGGAUAACCAUAGUGAUGCACACCGUCAAGGAGGAGUUUCAAGUUCUUGACUCAAAUUCUAAUGGCGCAAUUAGCCGAAGAAUUUGCAAUAUGAUUGCCACACUGGUCAACUCAACUCUUCAAGCAAAAAAAUAUCCAGAUGUCAUAUCGUGGCCAAUAAAUGAGUACGAAAUGCAGAGACAAAAAGAUGCAGUGUCUUGUGGACUUUUUGUGAUGUGGUGCAUAAAACACUGGGACGGAGAUCGCUGGACAUAUAAAUUUGACCAGGAAGAGAUUAAUGCGUCAAGGCCACGUAUUGUCGCGGAAAUUAUUUUUUCGGAGGUGAACACAUUAGAAAAGGUCAAGACGAAAAUUGUUAAAAUCAUGGAGAAGGAAUAG
RNAcentral lists this ribosomal RNA (438 nucleotides) under Triticum aestivum (bread wheat). Its description in RNAcentral is "partial small subunit ribosomal RNA". Lineage: Eukaryota; Viridiplantae; Streptophyta; Magnoliopsida; Poales; Poaceae. The record is from RNAcentral.